AGCUGCGCAGUGCCCCUUCAGCGAAGUGGGAGGAGGAACAGAAGGGGCUCUGUUCCUCCUUCCGCUUCGCUGAAGGGGCGCUGCGCAGUU
Molecule: non-coding RNA, 90 nt
Organism: Podarcis lilfordi (Lilford's wall lizard)
Lineage: Eukaryota; Metazoa; Chordata; Lepidosauria; Squamata; Lacertidae
Source: the annotation of a GenBank genome assembly